AGAAAGACAUAGAAUUUGGAUUUUUCUUCUUCGUAGAGUUUUGGGAAGACUGAGGCAAUCGCUGCUGAAGUCAGUGUUGUAAUGGUGAAUCGGGAUUUUUAAAUGAAGUGGGUUUGAAUACUCUUGACUGUUUUGUAAAAUCGAGUUACGUCUGUGAUUGAAGGAUUAAAAGGGUGUCUAUAGGAUUGAGUAUGCGGAGUGAAUGAAAUUUAUGGGGUUAAUCUAACAGGACAGUUAGUGGAAACAAGAUCGUAAGUACAAAGGGGUAUUGAAGAUUAACAGUUUGGGUUGUUC
RNAcentral lists this long non-coding RNA (294 nucleotides) under Physcomitrium patens. Its description in RNAcentral is "long non-coding RNA (PPAT_LNC005214)". Lineage: Eukaryota; Viridiplantae; Streptophyta; Bryopsida; Funariales; Funariaceae. The record is from RNAcentral.